GAUGCCCACCAAUAUUAAAGAUCUUCUAUAAAUAGCAGUUUGUGCUAAAUGCAGUGUAAUUCACUCUGUGGAAGGAAUUAGUGGUCUUACCCAUUCAAGGCUGAGAACUUACCAUCCUGUGUUCCAUAUUAGUACACUUUUUCAUUUUAUAAUCACAGAUUUCUGGUUUUGUGUCCUUCACGAUUGGUUAAAUGCUACGGGCCCUCUGACAAGAUGAAAAAAGUGAUACAUACCAUAGUAAAUAAAUGUUAUGUGAAACAGGAGGCAUAUAAUUAUGCACUAGUGUAUUAAAAUAUGGCUAGCAGUUCAAUUUAGGUACAACAAAUUGCUGUUUAAUUAGCUGCCCGUGGUUUACUCAGAAGAUGUAGAAAAAAUAAUAAAAAUCAAAAGCUGAUUUUAUUGUUAUUACUGGCUAAAUGGAAGAGCUAGGGUAUUACAGGUGAAUCUGUGUUCUUUUCCUGAUAAUUUUUGCAUGAGCAGGAUUAAAAAAUAGCUGGGAAUAUAUUUGUAAAUACACUAUGUGAUGUAAUAAGUCUAUUACACUUAAAAGGUAUGAACAAAACUUGAGAGACCAUAGCAGUAGUGCUGUUUGAACUUACAAUCUUAGCUUUGUUCUUUUUGACUAAUAUUUUCCUUUUGCUUAUGUAAAAUUGCAACAGAAUAAAUCCAAUGCAUAUGGACUUCACAUGAUGAAGUUGAGCCACUGCAGAAAUUAUUCUAAUCAGAUAGCAUAAAAUAGCGGUAAGGAAGACAGUGGGCUUUGAGCAGUAGAUAAAGAAAAGCUCAGAUGGAUUCAAAAUUAAAUAAAGCUUCUUCUUUUCUAGCUCAGGCUGAGAGAAAGCAUGGACCUAAGGAAUUUAAAUCAACGCCUAAACCCGAAUUGCAAACUCAAAACAUACUGGCUUCUAAUGAAAUACACCCACUUCCUUCUGGAUCCAGAAUCUUUGAUGCUCCAAAAAGUCCGUUGACACAACUUGCUACUCAGAGUCCAACCUUGAAAUCUGUAUUUCUACCUUCAGCAGAAACCAGAAAGAUGGAGAUAGCUUUUGAUGAAACACAGCCUGUUUCUUCGAGAUUCAAAACAUCUGGUACCACAGAAGUGCAACCAACCAAGUCUGCUUCAUACGGUUUUCUUCAUGUUACUUCUACUCAAACUUUUACAGCUUCAGAAAUACCAGACACUGCUGGAUAUACUACUGAUCUGGAGAUAACCAUGCCUGUAGUUACCACAGAACCUCAUUUGUUAGAAACAACAUUGGAUUUAGGUGAAACGAAGCCUUUUUCUUCAAGAUCCAUAACAUCUGGCAUGCCAGAAAUGCCACCAGUCUCAGCUGCUACUCAGAGACCAAAGGUGAAGCCUUCUCCUCCUUCCAUUGCAAUCCAAGGGACAGUGGAGGCGACCCAGAGACGGGCUCCGGAAUCCACCUCGUCUGCUUCACCGGAAACCACGAGGACUGUGAUGGCUUCGAAUAACCUUCUUCAUGUUACUUCCACUUCCCAAAUAUCUGCAUCUGCAAAAAUGUCAGAGACAGAGACUGCUACCCAGGAGCCAGGCCUGGAAUUCACAUCUCUUCCCUCCAUGGAAACCACAGAGAGCGUGAUGGAUUUUAUUUCAGCUUUUGAUGAAAAGCAGCCUGUUUCUUCAAGAUCUGAAACAUCUGGCAUCCAAGAAAUGCUGUCAGCUGUACCUGGUAAUAGUUGAAAAUG
This 1707-nucleotide long non-coding RNA is filed under the name Anas platyrhynchos platyrhynchos (common mallard). RNAcentral's name for it is "lncRNA (ENSAPLG00000030163.1)". The record is from RNAcentral. Lineage: Eukaryota; Metazoa; Chordata; Aves; Anseriformes; Anatidae.